RNAcentral lists this ribosomal RNA (209 nucleotides) under uncultured bacterium. RNAcentral's name for it is "partial 16S ribosomal RNA". It matches the Rfam family "Bacterial small subunit ribosomal RNA", at positions 1292 to 1500 of the family's 1533-position model. The record is from RNAcentral.
UUCGGAUUGUAGUCUGCAACCCGACUACAUGAAGCUGGAAUCGCUAGUAAUCGCGGAUCAGAAUGCCGCGGUGAAUACGUUCCCGGGUCUUGUACACACCGCCCGUCACACCAUGGGAGUCGGAAAUGCCCGAAGUCUGUGACCUAACCGCAAGGGAGGAGCAGCCGAAGGCAGGUCGGAUGACUGGGGUGAAGUCGUAACAAGGUACC